Molecule: ribosomal RNA, 484 nt
Filed under: Alcaligenaceae bacterium 'ARUP UnID 524'
Lineage: Bacteria; Pseudomonadati; Pseudomonadota; Betaproteobacteria; Burkholderiales; Alcaligenaceae
Description: bacterial SSU rRNA
Rfam family: Bacterial small subunit ribosomal RNA
Source: RNAcentral
GAACGCUAGCGGGAUGCCUUACACAUGCAAGUCGAACGGCAGCAUCAGAGAGCUUGCUCUCUGGAUGGCGAGUGGCGAACGGGUGAGUAAUGUAUCGGAACGUGCCCAGUAGCGGGGGAUAACUACGCGAAAGCGUAGCUAAUACCGCAUACGCCCUACGGGGGAAAGGGGGGGAUCGCAAGACCUCUCACUAUUGGAGCGGCCGAUAUCGGAUUAGCUAGUUGGUGAGGUAACGGCUCACCAAGGCGACGAUCCGUAGCUGGUUUGAGAGGACGACCAGCCACACUGGGACUGAGACACGGCCCAGACUCCUACGGGAGGCAGCAGUGGGGAAUUUUGGACAAUGGGGGCAACCCUGAUCCAGCCAUCCCGCGUGUGCGAUGAAGGCCUUCGGGUUGUAAAGCACUUUUGUCAGGGAAGAAAAGUUCGAGGUUAAUACCCUUGGACGCUGACGGUACCUGAAGAAUAAGCACCGGCUAACUAC